This 344-nucleotide unclassified non-coding RNA is filed under the name soil metagenome. RNAcentral's name for it is "partial contains 5.8S ribosomal RNA, internal transcribed spacer 2, and large subunit ribosomal RNA". The stretch from base 1 to 119 matches the Rfam family "5.8S ribosomal RNA", at positions 35 to 154 of the family's 154-position model. The record is from RNAcentral.
GAUGAAGAACGUAGCGAAAUGCGAUACGUAAUGUGAAUUGCAAAUUCAGUGAAUCAUCGAGUCUUUGAACGCACAUUGCGCCCCCUGGUAUUCCGGGGGGCAUGCCUGUCCGAGCGUCAUUGCUGCCCUCAAGCACGGCUUGUGUGUUGGGCCCCGUCCUCCGAUCCCGGGGGACGGGCCCGAAAGGCAGCGGCGGCACCGCGUCCGGUCCUCGAGCGUAUGGGGCUUUGUCACCCGCUCUGUAGGCCCGGCCGGCGCUUGCCGAUCAACCCAAAUUUUUAUCCAGGUUGACCUCGGAUCAGGUAGGGAUACCCGCUGAACUUAAGCAUAUAAUAAGCGGAGGA